CCUACGGGCGGCAGCAGUGGGGGAUAUUGCACAAUGGGGGGAACCCUGAUGCAGCGACGCCGCGUGGGUGAAGAAGCGCCUCGGCGCGUAAAGCCCUGUCAGCAGGGAAGAAAAUGACGGUACCUGAAGAAGAAGCCCCGGCUAACUACGUGCCAGCAGCCGCGGUAAUACGUAGGGGGCAAGCGUUAUCCGGAUUUACUGGGUGUAAAGGGGGCGCAGACGGCGAUGCAAGCCAGGAGUGAAAGCCCGGGGCCCAACCCCGGGACUUCUCUUGGAACUGCGUGGCUGGAGUGCAGGAGGGGCAGGCGGAAUUCCGGGUGUAGCGGUGAAAUGCAUAGAGAUCGCGCAGAACUCCGAUUGCGAAGGCAGCGUACCGGCGCCAGACUGACGCUGAGGCACGAAAGCGUGGGGAUCGAACAGGAUUAGAUACCCUGGUAGUC
Molecule: ribosomal RNA, 440 nt
Filed under: uncultured bacterium
Lineage: Bacteria
Description: partial 16S ribosomal RNA
Rfam family: Bacterial small subunit ribosomal RNA
Source: RNAcentral